RNA transcript from Zea mays, 722 nucleotides. RefSeq lists it as uncharacterized. Lineage: Eukaryota; Viridiplantae; Streptophyta; Magnoliopsida; Poales; Poaceae. The record is from RefSeq and is a predicted model, not a curated record. The transcript is spliced from 3 exons.
AUGCUGCAGCUUCUGAUUUUGAUCCUACCUCUACUGGGCACCCUUGUGAUAUAGAUGGUGAUGCUGAGCCUAAUAUCGAAGGUAAUGAACCAACAAUUUAACUUCUCUUAAAACAACAAUUGUUUGACCUUUCUAAUGUAUUGAUUUUGCACUGUAACUGGGUAGAGGAAACUGUGGGAACAAGACGUGGGAAGACAAAACUUAAACAUGUUUGGAACAUUCCAAAAGGGCAUAGGAUUGUAGUAAAAUGUAAUGAGUUUGACCAGCCGAUUGGAGAAGAAGCAGGAGUGCUUGGAAAAUUCCUUGGCAUGGUGGCAAGAAAUGGCUGCCUGUGUAGGUUAAGCUACAAGGAUUGGAGACUUCUGAUAGGAAAGAAAGAGAGAACUACCAAUGAGCAGAAAAAUAAAGAGGAUAUACUUAACCAAGUAAAGAAGAGAUUUCUUUACCCUGCACGCAUGGAAAAAUGGGUACUGCGAACCAUUGGAGAUAGAUGGAGGCAACACAAAUCCAAUCUGAAAUCUAUAUAUUUUGACGUGCAUAAGAGCAAAGAAGCUAAUUACAAAAAUGUUCCAGAAGGUGUGAUACCGGAUCAGUGGAUUGCGCUUGUCAAUAAUUGGAUGACCUUGAAAGCACAGGAUAUAAGUGAGGCGAAUAGGAUAAACUGUGCUAAGAAAAAGGCAAUUCAUACAACUGGGACGAAGAGUUUCGCUCGAAAUAGAGAA